Molecule: ribosomal RNA, 497 nt
Filed under: uncultured bacterium
Lineage: Bacteria
Description: partial 16S ribosomal RNA
Rfam family: Bacterial small subunit ribosomal RNA
Source: RNAcentral
GAUGAACGCUGGCGGCGUGCCUAAUACAUGCAAGUCGAGCGAACAGACGAGGAGCUUGCUCCUCUGAUGUUAGCGGCGGACGGGUGAGUAACACGUGGAUAACCUACCUAUAAGACUGGGAUAACUUCGGGAAACCGGAGCUAAUACCGGAUAACAUGUUGAACCGCAUGGUUCAACAGUGAAAGACGGUCUUGCUGUCACUUAUAGAUGGAUCCGCGCCGCAUUAGCUAGUUGGUAAGGUAACGGCUUACCAAGGCAACGAUGCGUAGCCGACCUGAGAGGGUGAUCGGCCACACUGGAACUGAGACACGGUCCAGACUCCUACGGGAGGCAGCAGUAGGGAAUCUUCCGCAAUGGGCGAAAGCCUGACGGAGCAACGCCGCGUGAGUGAAGAAGGUCGUCGGAUCGUAAAACUCUGUUAUUAGGGAAGAACAAAUGUGUAAGUAACUAUGCACGUCUUGACGGUACCUAAUCAGAAAGCCACGGCUAACUACGUG